AGCUGUGGAAUUGGAAGACGGCAUCUUCGGAUGCAUGACCUUUCCCGUGCUUUUUAGAACAUAGAUCGGAUCAGUCAGAUCACGAUCGAAACGCAAUACGUCGAGUAUGGGUCUGGUUGUCCUUCGAGCGUCAAGCGCGAGGGGCGUUUAGCCAUAUCCGGCUCAGAUAAGGCGAGAGCCGCCGUCCACGUUUCUCUUUCUCACAAGGAUACGAACCACGCCGCAUCAUGUUGCGUGCUUAACGAAUGGGCCCGUAGCUCAGGUGGUUAGAGCGCACGCCUGAUAAGCGUGAGGUCGGCAGUUCGAGUCUGCCCGGGCCCACCAUUCGCUCUGCGAAUGUGUCCUGACGCUGUCGCGAUCUGAAGAUCGCUUCGCUCCGGACGGGCCGCCGAACGAUCGGCGACGGGCCUUGCCCUUGCGGCGCUUGUUGCGCCGACAGGCAUGCUUGACAUGUUCACCGAAGCCGGCGUCGCCGGUCAUCGAAAGAUGGGGCUGUAGCUCAGCUGGGAGAGCACCUGCUUUGCAAGCAGGGGGUCAGCGGUUCGAUCCCGCUCAGCUCCACCAUUCGAUUGGUGUUGAACUGGCGGUAAUUAUCCUUGGAGAAAAGUAGGUUUGCAUCGUCUUUAUGAGACGGAUGCCUGUUCUGCAAAAAUUGUGAAGAGAAGAUAUGUCUGGAAGCUUCCAGGUGUUGAAGGUGAUCGAAAGGUUGCCGGAGACGUCCGAGCCCAGCCCCGAAGAAACCAUGGAUGGUCUAGCCGACCGGAAAUGGCGGAGGGGUUGGAGGUAGGAGGGAAGCUUGUCGUUGAAGGCAUGGAUGUUGUUUGGGUGUCCUUCGGGAUGCCCAUCUGGUGUUCGUGGCUGAUUGGUGUUGCCUGACCGCGCAUCACCGGACAUAUCUCGAGAAGCUGGUCUUAAAGACAGGCUGCAAGUGAACCGCUCGGCGUGGUUCCAAUAAAGCAGGCCUGUCGAACACGUCGAUGGCAUCUGAUUGGCUCGGUUGUAAAAGGUAACCGGGUUUUUGGGCUGGCUGUGCGGGAUACUGAAAGGUGUCCGUAUGGCCAGGUUUGGCUGCCCUGCGAGGCGACAAGCCGAGUAGGAAAGCUUAGCCAGACCCAGAUAAAGAUGAGCAUUGGCAAUGAGAACGAUCAAGUGAAAGAAGGGCAUUUGGUGGAUGCCUUGGCAUGCACAGGCGAUGAAGGACGUGAUACGCUGCGAAAAGCCGUGGGGAGCUGCGAAUAAGCUUGAU
This 1246-nucleotide unclassified non-coding RNA is filed under the name Sinorhizobium medicae. RNAcentral's name for it is "partial miscellaneous RNA". The stretch from base 248 to 321 matches the Rfam family "tRNA". The record is from RNAcentral. Lineage: Bacteria; Pseudomonadati; Pseudomonadota; Alphaproteobacteria; Hyphomicrobiales; Rhizobiaceae.